This is a non-coding RNA of Gossypium raimondii (Peruvian cotton), 107 nucleotides long. Lineage: Eukaryota; Viridiplantae; Streptophyta; Magnoliopsida; Malvales; Malvaceae. The record is from Rfam.
AAUACAUGGUGCAGGCAUUUCUGAAUCAACGUUUUAAAACGUUCCCAAGCCUCAUGAAAACUUUCUCCUUCUAUUUGUCUAAAAAUAGCAAUUUCUCUUCUAGUUGC